This 84-nucleotide transfer RNA is filed under the name Scleroderma citrinum Foug A. It matches the Rfam family "tRNA". From Rfam's summary of the family: Transfer RNA (tRNA) molecules are approximately 80 nucleotides in length. Their secondary structure includes four short double-helical elements and three loops (D, anti-codon, and T loops). The record is from Rfam by way of RNAcentral. Lineage: Eukaryota; Fungi; Basidiomycota; Agaricomycetes; Boletales; Sclerodermataceae.
UGCCCCAUGGCUGAGUUGGUUACAGCGUCCGACUGUUACUUCCUGAACAUCGGAAGGUCGUGAGUUCGAGCCUCACUGGGGCAG